Molecule: ribosomal RNA, 236 nt
Filed under: uncultured bacterium
Lineage: Bacteria
Description: partial 16S ribosomal RNA
Rfam family: Bacterial small subunit ribosomal RNA
Source: RNAcentral
ACGGGUGAGUAACACGUAUGCAAUCCACCUGUAACAGAGGGAUAACCCGGAGAAAUCCGGACUAAUACCCCAUAAUAUGGGCGCUCCGCAUGGAGAGCCCAUUAAAGAGAGCAAUUUUGGUUACAGACGAGCAUGCGCUCCAUUAGCCAGUUGGCGGGGUAACGGCCCACCAAAGCGACGAUGGAUAGGGGUUCUGAGAGGAAGGUCCCCCACAUUGGAACUGAGACACGGUCCAA